UGGCAGACGGGUGAGUAACACGUGGUCAACCUACCUCUGUGUGGGGGAUAACUAGCCGAAAGGUUAGCUAAUACCGCAUACGAUCGUUUGGAGGCAUCUCCGAACGAUGAAAGGAGCAAUCCGCACGGAGAGGGGACUGCGUCCCAUUAGUUAGUUGGUCGGGUAACGGCCUACCAAGACUCCGAUGGGUAGCUGGCUUGAGAGAGCGACCAGCCACACUGGAACUGAGACACGGUCCAGACUCCUACGGGAGGCAGCAGUGAGGAAUUUUCCGCAAUGGGCGAAAGCCUGACGGAGCGACGCCGCGUGUGGGAAGAAGGCCUUCGGGUCGUAAACCACUGUCGAAGGGGACGAUAUUGACGGUACCCUUGGAGGAAGCCCCGGCUAACUACGUGCCAGCAGCCGCGGUAAGACGUAGGGGGCGAGCGUUGUCCGGAAUUAUUGGGCGUAAAGCGCUCGUAGGUGGAUUUGC
RNAcentral lists this ribosomal RNA (472 nucleotides) under uncultured bacterium. RNAcentral describes it as "bacterial SSU rRNA". It matches the Rfam family "Bacterial small subunit ribosomal RNA", at positions 96 to 584 of the family's 1533-position model. The record is from RNAcentral.